AGACGAACCGUCCAAACGUUAUUCGGAAUUACUGGGCUUAAAGGGUGCGUAGGCGGCGCGGAAAGUUGGGUGUGAAAUACCUCGGCUCAACCGAGGAACGGCGCCCAAUACUGCCGUGCUCGAGGAAGAUAGAGGUGAGCGGAACUUAGGGUGGAGCGGUGAAAUGCGUUGAUAUCCUAAGGAACACCAGUGGCGAAAGCGGCUCACUGGAUCUUUUCUGACGCUGAGGCACGAAAGCUAGGGUAGCGAACGGGAUUAGAAACCCCAGUAGUCC
RNAcentral lists this ribosomal RNA (274 nucleotides) under uncultured bacterium. RNAcentral describes it as "partial 16S ribosomal RNA". It matches the Rfam family "Bacterial small subunit ribosomal RNA", at positions 523 to 796 of the family's 1533-position model. The record is from RNAcentral.